RNAcentral lists this ribosomal RNA (1134 nucleotides) under uncultured bacterium. RNAcentral describes it as "bacterial SSU rRNA". It matches the Rfam family "Bacterial small subunit ribosomal RNA", at positions 190 to 1350 of the family's 1533-position model. The record is from RNAcentral.
UCGAGCAGAGGGAAAAGGAGUAAUCCGCUUUGAGAUGGCCUCGCGUCCGAUUAGCUAGUUGGUGAGGUAAUGGCCCACCAAGGCGACGAUCGGUAGCCGGACUGAGAGGUUGAACGGCCACAUUGGGACUGAGACACGGCCCAGACUCCUACGGGAGGCAGCAGUGGGGAAUAUUGCACAAUGGGGGAAACCCUGAUGCAGCGACGCCGCGUGGAGGAAGAAGGUCUUCGGAUUGUAAACUCCUGUUGUUGAGGAAGAUAAUGACGGUACUCAACAAGGAAGUGACGGCUAACUACGUGCCAGCAGCCGCGGUAAAACGUAGGUCACAAGCGUUGUCCGGAAUUACUGGGUGUAAAGGGAGCGCAGGCGGGAGAACAAGUUGGAAGUGAAAUCCAUGGGCUCAACCCAUGAACUGCUUUCAAAACUGUUUUUCUUGAGUAGUGCAGAGGUAGGCGGAAUUCCCGGUGUAGCGGUGGAAUGCGUAGAUAUCGGGAGGAACACCAGUGGCGAAGGCGGCCUACUGGGCACCAAUUGACGCUGAGGCUCGAAAGUGUGGGUAGCAAACAGGAUUAGAUACCCUGGUAGUCCACACCGUAAACGAAGAUUACUAGGUGUUGGAGGAUGGACCCCUUCAGUGCCGCAGUUAACACAAUAAGUAAUCCACCUGGGGAGUACGACCGCAAGGUUGAAACUCAAAGGAAUUGACGGGGGCCCGCACAAGCAGUGGAGUAUGUGGUUUAAUUCGACGCAACGCGAAGAACCUUACCAAGUCUUGACAUCCCUUGACGAUGCUGGAAACAGCAUUUCUCUUCGGAGCAAGGAGACAGGUGGUGCAUGGUUGUCGUCAGCUCGUGUCGUGAGAUGUUGGGUUAAGUCCCGCAACGAGCGCAACCCUUAUGGUCAGUUACUACGCAAGAGGACUCUGGCCAGACUGCCGUUGACAAAACGGAGGAAGGUGGGGAUGACGUCAAAUCAUCAUGCCCUUUAUGACUUGGGCUACACACGUACUACAAUGGCGUUAAACAAAGAGAAGCAAGACCGCGAGGUGGAGCAAAACUCAGAAACAACGUCCCAGUUCGGACUGCAGGCUGCAACUCGCCUGCACGAAGUCGGAAUUGCUAGUAAUCGUGGAUC